RNAcentral lists this ribosomal RNA (171 nucleotides) under uncultured bacterium. Its description in RNAcentral is "partial 16S ribosomal RNA". The record is from RNAcentral.
CACGCCCUAAACGAUGUCAACUGGUUGUCGGGUCUUCAUUGACUUGGUAACGUAGCUAACGCGUGAAGUUGACCGCCUGGGGAGUNACGCGAAAAACCUUACCUACCCUUGACAUGUACGGAAUCCUGCUGAGAGGUGGGAGUGCCCGAAAGGGAGCCGUAACACAGGUGC